Molecule: long non-coding RNA, 229 nt
Filed under: Manihot esculenta (cassava)
Lineage: Eukaryota; Viridiplantae; Streptophyta; Magnoliopsida; Malpighiales; Euphorbiaceae
Description: long non-coding RNA (MESC_LNC013043)
Source: RNAcentral
CCAGUUUAUCUUUCUCAUGUAAGGAUACCGAAGUUUAUAACAACUCGGUAGUAGCAGUAGUACCAGUGAUUGUAUAAAUAGUACAAAAGGUAGUACAUUGUAUUUGGUUUUUAAUACAAUUAUAUUUUACCAACUGCUACUGUAUAAGUCCGUGUUGACGGCACCUAUUUCUCUUUCUCUCUCCGAUCAUCAAUCUGAGUUAUUUCUGGGAAAUCCAGGAUAACGUUGC